This 207-nucleotide ribosomal RNA is filed under the name uncultured bacterium. Its description in RNAcentral is "partial 16S ribosomal RNA". It matches the Rfam family "Bacterial small subunit ribosomal RNA", at positions 568 to 774 of the family's 1533-position model. The record is from RNAcentral.
UGUGUAGGCGGUUGCUUAAGUUUGGUGUGAAAUCUCCCGGCUCAACUGGGAGGGUGCGCCGAAUACUGAGUGACUAGAGUGCGGGAGAGGAGAGUGGAAUUCCUGGUGUAGCGGUGAAAUGCGUAGAUAUCAGGAGGAACACCGGUGGUGUAGACGGCUCUCUGGACCGUAACUGACGCUGAGACACGAAAGCGUGGGUAGCAAACA